AUUGAACGCUGGCGGCAUGCUUUACACAUGCAAGUCGAACGGCAGCGCGGGCUUCGUCCUGGCGGCGAGUGGCGAACGGGUGAGUAUUACAUCGGAACGUGCCCAGUAGUGGGGGAUAGCUCGGCGAAAGCCGGAUUAAUACCGCAUACGACCUGAUGUUGAAAGCGGGGGAUCUUCGGACCUCGCGCUAUUUGAGCGGCCGAUGGCAGAUUAGCUAGUUGGUUGGGUAAAGGCCUACCAAGGCGACGAUCUGUAGCUGGUCUGAGAGGACGACCAGCCACACUGGGACUGAGACACGGCCCAGACUCCUACGGGAGGCAGCAGUGGGGAAUUUUGGACAAUGGGCGAAAGCCUGAUCCAGCAAUGCCGCGUGUGUGAUGAAGGCCUUCGGGUUGUAAAGCACUUUUGGCGGGAACGAAAAGGACUGUGCCAAUACCACGGUUCGAUGACGGUACCCGCAGAAUAAGCACCGGCUAACUACGUG
RNAcentral lists this ribosomal RNA (484 nucleotides) under uncultured bacterium. RNAcentral describes it as "partial 16S ribosomal RNA". It matches the Rfam family "Bacterial small subunit ribosomal RNA", at positions 30 to 507 of the family's 1533-position model. The record is from RNAcentral.